ACGGCUCAGUAACACGUAGUCAACCUAACCUAUGGACGGAAAUAACCUCGGGAAACUGAGAAUAAUAUCCGAUAGAACACUAUACCUGGAAUGGUUUGUGUUCCAAAUGAUUUAUCGCCGUAGGAUGGGACUGCGGCCUAUCAGUUUGUUGGUGAGGUAAUGGCCCACCAAGACUAUUACAGGUACGGGCUCUGAGAGGAGUAGCCCGGAGAUGGGUACUGAGACACGGACCCAGGCCCUAUGGGGCGCAGCAGGCGAGAAAACUUUGCAAUGUGCGAAAGCACGACAAGGUUAAUCCGAGUGAUUUGUGCUAAACGAAUCUUUUGUUAGUCUUAGAACCACUAACGAAUAAGGGGUGGGCAAGUUCUGGUGUCAGCCGCCGCGGUAAAACCAGCACCUCAAGUGGUCAGGAUGAUUAUUGGGCCUAAAGCAUCCGUAGCCGGCUCUGUAAGUUUUCGGUUAAAUCUGUACGCUCAACGUACAGGCUGCCGGGAAUACUGCAGAGCUAGGGAGUGGGAGAGGUAGACGGUACUCGGAAGGAAGGGGUAAAAUCCUUUGAUCUUUUGAUGACCACCUGUGGCGAAGGCGGUCUACCAGAACACGUCCGACGGUGAGGGAUGAAAGCUGGGGGAGCAAACCGGAUUAGAUACCCGGGUAGUCCCAGCUGUAAACUAUGCAAACUCAGUGAUGCAUUGACUUGUGGUCAAUGCAGUGCUGCAGGGAAGCCGUUAAGUUUGCCGCCUGGGAAGUACGUACGCAAGUAUGAAACUUAAAGGAAUUGGCGGGGGAGCAC
RNAcentral lists this ribosomal RNA (793 nucleotides) under uncultured archaeon. RNAcentral's name for it is "bacterial SSU rRNA". It matches the Rfam family "Archaeal small subunit ribosomal RNA", at positions 85 to 879 of the family's 1478-position model. The record is from RNAcentral.